This 425-nucleotide ribosomal RNA is filed under the name uncultured bacterium. Its description in RNAcentral is "partial 16S ribosomal RNA". It matches the Rfam family "Bacterial small subunit ribosomal RNA", at positions 354 to 796 of the family's 1533-position model. The record is from RNAcentral.
GUGGGGAAUAUUGGACAAUGGGCGCAAGCCUGAUCCAGCCAUGCCGCGUGAGUGAUGAAGGCCUUAGGGUUGUAAAGCUCUUUCACCGGUGAAGAUAAUGACGGUAACCGGAGAAGAAGCCCCGGCUAACUUCGUGCCAGCAGCCGCGGUAAUACGAAGGGGGCUAGCGUUGUUCGGAAUUACUGGGCGUAAAGCGCACGUAGGCGGAUAUUUAAGUCAGGGGUGAAAUCCCAGAGCUCAACUCUGGAACUGCCUUUGAUACUGGGUAUCUCGAGUAUGGAAGAGGUAAGUGGAAUUCCGAGUGUAGAGGUGAAAUUCGUAGAUAUUCGGAGGAACACCAGUGGCGAAGGCGGCUUACUGGUCCAUUACUGACGCUGAGGUGCGAAAGCGUGGGGAGCAAAAAGGAUUAGAAACCCGGGUAGUCC